Molecule: non-coding RNA, 453 nt
Organism: Triticum urartu
Lineage: Eukaryota; Viridiplantae; Streptophyta; Magnoliopsida; Poales; Poaceae
Source: RefSeq, a predicted model, not a curated record
AGACCUCCACGCGAAUGGCUGGGCGAGCUCAACGCUCCCGUCAGUCUGGAAGAAUCCUCGCGUGGAUUCUGCAGUGGUUACGGAUUGGGGAACCAAAGCUGUCGCUCUUGUUUGAUCCCACGUGGCACGUGCCCCAAAUCGGAGUCCCUUAUGGAUAAAGUGAAGGAAGCCAUGGGGAGGAGUGAAUUAGCGAGGAGGAGAUUAGAUUGCCUAAAGUUCCCAAGGGAACACGUACGUGACUUUUGGGGGAGAUCAAAUGGCCAUAAGGCGGCGUGCGCUUUUGAUAAUAGCAUGUGUAUUUGAGAUGCACGGUGCUGUUGAACUCGAUACUGAAGAGUUUGGUGUUGCUGAACAUCCUAAAUUCUGUGUGAUUUGUCAUGGGCUGCUUCUGUAUAUAAAUUGUUAUUCAGACAAGAUUAAUCCCGGAACUAUUAGAACCACGUCAUUCAGCAA